RNAcentral lists this ribosomal RNA (253 nucleotides) under uncultured bacterium. RNAcentral's name for it is "partial 16S ribosomal RNA". It matches the Rfam family "Bacterial small subunit ribosomal RNA", at positions 524 to 776 of the family's 1533-position model. The record is from RNAcentral.
UACGUAGGGCGCAAGCGUUGUCCGGAAUUAUUGGGCGUAAAGAGCUCGUAGGCGGCCUGUUGCGUCCGCUGUGAAAUCCCGGGGCUUAACCCCGGGCCUGCAGUGGAUACGGGCAGGCUGGAGGCAGGCAGGGGAGAACGGAAUUCCCGGUGUAGCGGUGAAAUGCGUAGAGAUCGGGAAGAACACCAGUGGCGAAAGCGCUCUGCUGGACUGCAACUGACACUGAGGGACGAAAGCUAGGGGAGCGAAAGGG